Molecule: ribosomal RNA, 583 nt
Filed under: Aquipseudomonas alcaligenes
Lineage: Bacteria; Pseudomonadati; Pseudomonadota; Gammaproteobacteria; Pseudomonadales; Pseudomonadaceae
Description: bacterial SSU rRNA
Rfam family: Bacterial small subunit ribosomal RNA
Source: RNAcentral
ACGCUAAUACCGCAUACGUCCUACGGGAGAAAGCAGGGGACCUUCGGGCCUUGCGCUAUCAGAUGAGCCUAGGUCGGAUUAGCUAGUAGGUGAGGUAAUGGCUCACCUAGGCGACGAUCCGUAACUGGUCUGAGAGGAUGAUCAGUCACACUGGAACUGAGACACGGUCCAGACUCCUACGGGAGGCAGCAGUGGGGAAUAUUGGACAAUGGGCGAAAGCCUGAUCCAGCCAUGCCGCGUGUGUGAAGAAGGUCUUCGGAUUGUAAAGCACUUUAAGUUGGGAGGAAGGGCAGUAAGUUAAUACCUUGCUGUUUUGACGUUACCAACAGAAUAAGCACCGGCUAACUUCGUGCCAGCAGCCGCGGUAAUACGAAGGGUGCAAGCGUUAAUCGGAAUUACUGGGCGUAAAGCGCGCGUAGGUGGUUCAGCAAGUUGGAGGUGAAAUCCCCGGGCUCAACCUGGGAACUGCCUCCAAAACUACUGAGCUAGAGUACGGUAGAGGGUAGUGGAAUUUCCUGUGUAGCGGUGAAAUGCGUAGAUAUAGGAAGGAACACCAGUGGCGAAGGCGACUACCUGGACUGAU